Molecule: transfer RNA, 72 nt
Filed under: Stegodyphus mimosarum
Lineage: Eukaryota; Metazoa; Arthropoda; Arachnida; Araneae; Eresidae
Rfam family: tRNA
About the family: Transfer RNA (tRNA) molecules are approximately 80 nucleotides in length. Their secondary structure includes four short double-helical elements and three loops (D, anti-codon, and T loops).
Source: Rfam by way of RNAcentral
GCCUUCGUGGUGUAACGGUUAGCACACUCGGCACGUAUUCGAGGGGUCCAGGUUCGAAUCCCGGCUAGAUCA